This 253-nucleotide ribosomal RNA is filed under the name uncultured bacterium. RNAcentral's name for it is "partial 16S ribosomal RNA". It matches the Rfam family "Bacterial small subunit ribosomal RNA", at positions 524 to 776 of the family's 1533-position model. The record is from RNAcentral.
UACGUAGGGGGCAAGCGUUGUCCGGAAUCAUUGGGCGUAAAGAGCGUGUAGGCGGCUCGAUAAGUCCGCUCUGAAAGCCCGGGGCUCAACCCCGGGAGGCGGGCGGAUACUGUCGAGCUAGAGUCCGGAAGAGGCGAGUGGAAUUCCUGGUGUAGCGGUGAAAUGCGCAGAUAUCAGGAGGAACACCAAUGGCGAAGGCAGCUCGCUGGGACGGUACUGACGCUGAGACGCGAAAGCGUGGGGAGCAAACAGG